AGUCUGGUGGUGCAAUGGUAGCAUAGGUGGUUGACAGCAGAGAAAUCUGUCCCCUUCGGGGGGCCGCCAGAUUCUGGGUUCGAUUCCCAGACCAGGCAA
Molecule: non-coding RNA, 99 nt
Organism: Arachnomyces sp. PD_36
Lineage: Eukaryota; Fungi; Ascomycota; Eurotiomycetes; Onygenales; Arachnomycetaceae
Source: the annotation of a GenBank genome assembly